Molecule: ribosomal RNA, 429 nt
Filed under: Bacteroidota bacterium
Lineage: Bacteria; Pseudomonadati; Bacteroidota
Description: Bacteroidetes bacterium partial 16S ribosomal RNA
Rfam family: Bacterial small subunit ribosomal RNA
Source: RNAcentral
UAGGGGAUCUUCGGCAAUGGGGGGAACCCUGACCGAGCAACGCCGCGUGAGUGAAGAAGGUUUUCGGAUCGUAAAGCUCUGUUGUUAAGGAAGAACGAGUGUGAGAAUGGAAAGUUCAUACUGUGACGGUACUUAACCAGAAAGGGACGGCUAACUACGUGCCAGCAGCCGCGGUAAUACGUAGGUCCCGAGCGUUGUCCGGAUUUAUUGGGCGUAAAGCGAGCGCAGGCGGUUAGAUAAGUCUGAAGUUAAAGGCAGUGGCUCAACCAUUGUAGGCUUUGGAAACUGUUUAACUUGAGUGCAGAAGGGGAGAGUGGAAUUCCAUGUGUAGCGGUGAAAUGCGUAGAUAUAUGGAGGAACACCGGUGGCGAAAGCGGCUCUCUGGUCUGUAACUGACGCUGAGGCUCGAAAGCGUGGGGAGCGAACAGG